Molecule: long non-coding RNA, 829 nt
Filed under: Olea europaea subsp. europaea
Lineage: Eukaryota; Viridiplantae; Streptophyta; Magnoliopsida; Lamiales; Oleaceae
Source: RNAcentral
CUGAUAUAUAUGAUCGCAUGGAACUGCUUAGACAAGAACAAAUGCUGAAGGCUCGCUCACUGCAAUCUGCUCCUUUUGAAGGGGACUCUAGGUAUGCUAAAUUAAGAGUCUUCUAUUUAAUGUGAUGUCAUUUAGUUUGAGUAGUGUAUUUUCAGUUUUAGUGAUUACCAAUAUAGUACAGAUUUUUCUUGAACCUAAGGUGAUGAUAAAUAAAUUUGCUAAUACAUAUGGGGAAUAAAUUAAUGUAUUAGGCUAAAGAAUGGAAACGGUCAUUUUCUUUGUAACUAUACGAAUUACUCUGUGUGUACCUGUGCUGUUUGAAUAUAUAGUACCGUAUCUACUGCACUGAGUAGCAAAUUUCUGGCAGACAAUCUGAUUAUCUUGCAUCAAGGAGCACAGUUCAUCAUCCUACCCAAGAUCCUGUUUCCUAUGUUGGGAGAACUAACCAGGAACAUCGCAGUUUGUCAAUGCUAAGUGGUUCAUCAUAUGGUGGACCACAUGCUCCAUCAAUUUUAGGAGCAGCCCCACAGAGAAAUGUGGAUGAUCUUGCGUAUGCUCAAAGUUCUUCAAAUCCUGGCUAUGGAGUGAGCUUGCCUCCCGGUAGGGACUAUGGAACAGGGAAGGGCCUCCAUGGCACAUCAGUUGAUCUAGAUUACCCCAAUAGCAUUUCGGCACGUGAUAGUCAUCCAAGAAUGGAUGUUCGUAAAGAUGAUAAGGGUGCAUAUACUCGGGAGAUUGAAGAGAGGGAGAAAGACCACCAUAGGGAUUAUAUACGUGAGCGAGAAAAGGCUAGAGAAAGGGAGAAGGAACGUCUUCGAGAACGAGAUAG